CAGCAGCCGCCGCGGUAAUACGUAGGGUGCAAGCGUUAAUCGGAAUUACUGGGCGUAAAGCGUGCGCAGGCGGUUUGUUAAGUCUGUUGUGAAAUCCCCGGGCUCAACCUGGGAAUGGCAAUGGAUACUGGCAAGCUAGAGUGUGUCAGAGGAUGGUGGAAUUCCCGGUGUAGCGGUGAAAUGCGUAGAGAUCGGGAGGAACAUCAGUGGCGAAGGCGGCCAUCUGGGACAACACUGACGCUGAGGCACGAAAGCGUGGGGAGCAAACAGGAUUAGAUACCCCCGUAGUCCCUGUCUCUUAUAC
This 304-nucleotide ribosomal RNA is filed under the name uncultured bacterium. Its description in RNAcentral is "partial 16S ribosomal RNA". It matches the Rfam family "Bacterial small subunit ribosomal RNA", at positions 506 to 807 of the family's 1533-position model. The record is from RNAcentral.